CGAGCGUUGUCCGGAAUCAUUGGGCGUAAAGGGCGCGUAGGCGGUGCUGUAAGUCUGUGGUGAAAUCUCUGGGCUCAACUCAGAGUCUGCCAUAGAAACUGUAGUGCUAGAGUGUGGGAGAGGUGAGCGGAAUUCCUGGUGUAGCGGUGAAAUGCGUAGAUAUCAGGAGGAACACCCGUGGCGAAGGCGGCUCUCUGGCCUGUAACUGACGCUGAGGCGCGAAAGCGUGGGGAGCAAACAGG
This 242-nucleotide ribosomal RNA is filed under the name uncultured bacterium. RNAcentral's name for it is "partial 16S ribosomal RNA". It matches the Rfam family "Bacterial small subunit ribosomal RNA", at positions 535 to 776 of the family's 1533-position model. The record is from RNAcentral.